GAUGAACGCUGGCGGCGUGCCUAAUACAUGCAAGUCGAGCGAACGGACGAGAAGCUUGCUUCUCUGAUGUUAGCGGCGGACGGGUGAGUAACACGUGGAUAACCUACCUAUAAGACUGGGAUAACUUCGGGAAACCGGAGCUAAUACCGGAUAAUAUUUUGAACCACAUGGUUCAAAAGUGAAAGACGGUCUUGCUUUCCCUUAUAGAUGGAUCCGCGCUGCAUUAGCUAGUUGGUAAGGUAACGGCUUACCAAGGCAACGAUGCAUGGCCGACCGGGGAGGGUGAUCGGCCACACUGGAACUGAGACACGGUCCGGACUCCUACGGGAGGCAGCAGUAGGGAAUCUUCCGCAAUGGGCGAAAGCCUGACGGAGCAACGCCGCGUGAGUGAUGAAGGUCUUCGGAUCGUAAAACUCUGUUAUUAGGGAAGAACAUAUGUGUAAGUAACUGUGCACAUCUUGACGGUAACUAAUCAGAAAGCCACGGCUAACUACGUG
This 497-nucleotide ribosomal RNA is filed under the name uncultured bacterium. RNAcentral describes it as "partial 16S ribosomal RNA". It matches the Rfam family "Bacterial small subunit ribosomal RNA", at positions 28 to 507 of the family's 1533-position model. The record is from RNAcentral.